This 453-nucleotide ribosomal RNA is filed under the name uncultured Bifidobacterium sp. RNAcentral's name for it is "bacterial SSU rRNA". It matches the Rfam family "Bacterial small subunit ribosomal RNA", at positions 173 to 640 of the family's 1533-position model. The record is from RNAcentral. Lineage: Bacteria; Bacillati; Actinomycetota; Actinomycetes; Bifidobacteriales; Bifidobacteriaceae.
UUCCACAUGAUCGCAUGUGAUUGUGGGAAAGAUUCUAUCGGCGUGGGAUGGGGUCGCGUCCUAUCAGCUUGUUGGUGAGGUAACGGCUCAACCAAGGCUUCGACGGGUAGCCGGCCUGAGAGGGCGACCGGCCACAUUGGGACUGAGAUACGGCCCAGACUCCUACGGGAGGCAGCAGUGGGGAAUAUUGCACAAUGGGCGCAAGCCUGAUGCAGCGACGCCGCGUGAGGGAUGGAGGCCUUCGGGUUGUAAACCUCUUUUGUUUGGGAGCAAGCCUUCGGGUGAGUGUACCUUUCGAAUAAGCGCCGGCUAACUACGUGCCAGCAGCCGCGGUAAUACGUAGGGCGCAAGCGUUAUCCGGAUUUAUUGGGCGUAAAGGGCUCGUAGGCGGCUCGUCGCGUCCGGUGUGAAAGUCCAUCGCUUAACGGUGGAUCUGCGCCGGGUACGGGCGGG